This 647-nucleotide ribosomal RNA is filed under the name uncultured Actinomycetes bacterium. RNAcentral's name for it is "bacterial SSU rRNA". It matches the Rfam family "Bacterial small subunit ribosomal RNA", at positions 232 to 885 of the family's 1533-position model. Lineage: Bacteria; Bacillati; Actinomycetota; Actinomycetes. The record is from RNAcentral.
CGCGGCCUAUCAGCUUGUUGGUGGGGUGAUGGCCUACCAAGGCGACGACGGGUAGCCGGCCUGAGAGGGCGACCGGCCACACUGGGACUGAGACACGGCCCAGACUCCUACGGGAGGCAACAGUGGGGAAUAUUGCACAAUGGGCGCAAGCCUGAUGCAGCGACGCCGCGUGAGGGAUGACGGCCUUCGGGUUGGAAACCUCUUUCGCCAGGGACGAAGCCUUUUGGGGUGACGGUACCUGGAGAAGAAGCACCGGCUAACUACGUGCCAGCAGCCGCGGUAAUACGUAGGGUGCGAGCGUUGUCCGGAAUUAUUGGGCGUAAAGAGCUCGUAGGCGGUUUGUCGCGUCGGCCGUGGAAACUGGAGGCUUAACCUUCAGCGUGCGGUCGAUACGGGCAGACUUGAGUUCGGUAGGGGAGUCUGGAAUUCCUGGUGUAGCGGUGAAAUGCGCAGAUAUCAGGAGGAACACCGGUGGCGAAGGCGGGACUCUGGGCCGAUACUGACGCUGAGGAGCGAAAGCGCGGGGAGCGAACAGGAUUAGAUACCCUGGUAGUCCACGCUGUAAACGUUGGGCGCUAGGUGUGGGUGACAUUCCACGUUGUCCGUGCCGUAGCUAACGCAUUAAGCGCCCCGCCUGGGGAGUACGG